UGCGCAGGCGGCCGUGUGUGUGAGGCGUGAAAGCCCGGGGCUUAACCCCGGAAUUGCACCUCAAACUACAUGGCUAGAGCAUUGGAGAGGGUAGCAGAAUUCAUGGUGUAGCAGUGAAAUGCGUAGAUAUCAUGAGGAAUACCAGAGGCGAAGGCGGCUACCUGGACAAUUGCUGAGCUCAGGCACGAAAGCGUGGGGAGGCAAAAG
This 207-nucleotide ribosomal RNA is filed under the name uncultured bacterium. Its description in RNAcentral is "partial 16S ribosomal RNA". It matches the Rfam family "Bacterial small subunit ribosomal RNA", at positions 568 to 775 of the family's 1533-position model. The record is from RNAcentral.